Molecule: ribosomal RNA, 253 nt
Filed under: uncultured bacterium
Lineage: Bacteria
Description: partial 16S ribosomal RNA
Rfam family: Bacterial small subunit ribosomal RNA
Source: RNAcentral
UACAGAGGGUGCGAGCGUUAAUCGGAAUUACUGGGCGUAAAGCGCGCGUAGGCGGCUUUGCAAGUCGGGUGUGAAAUCCCCAGGCUUAACCUGGGAACUGCAUUCGAGACUGCAUUGCUAGAGUAUGGGAGAGGGAAGUGGAAUUUCCGGUGUAGCGGUGAAAUGCGUAGAUAUCGGAAGGAACAUCAGUGGCGAAAGCGACUUCCUGGACCAAUACUGACACUCAUGUGCGAAAGCGUGGGGAGCAAACAGG